CGAACGGGUGAGUAAUACAUCGGAACGUAUCCAGUAGCGGGGGAUAACCUCUCGAAAGAGAGGCUAAUACCGCAUACGACCUACGGGUGAAAGAGGGGGAUCGCAAGACCUCUCACUAUUGGAGCGGCCGAUGUCGGAUUAGCUAGUUGGCGGGGUAAAAGCCCACCAAGGCUACGAUCCGUAGCUGGUCUGAGAGGACGACCAGCCACACUGGAACUGAGACACGGUCCAG
RNAcentral lists this ribosomal RNA (232 nucleotides) under uncultured bacterium. RNAcentral describes it as "partial 16S ribosomal RNA". It matches the Rfam family "Bacterial small subunit ribosomal RNA", at positions 99 to 334 of the family's 1533-position model. The record is from RNAcentral.